GGAUGUUGCGUAAAGGGAAAGGUCGUAGUCAAACCCCACAGCCACGCGAACUCAAAGUCAGCCACGAAUAGGCUAUCCCAACUAACGGCGGGAAAGACUCCACGGAGGGUGUAAGACCCGUGUGGGCGCGUGUCAAAGCUGUGCGGGCUCGGCCUCUAUUCCCUGAGAGUCGCGUUGCUUGAGCAUGCAGCGCUAAGCAGGUCGUAAACUCGAUCUAAGGCUAAAUAUCUCCACAGAACCGAUAGCGAACAAGUACCGUGAGGGAAAGUUGAAAAGCACUCUGGAGAGAGAGUCAAAAGACCGUGAAACCGCUCAGAGUAUAAGCCCAUGGCAGCUUGGAAGGCAUAUCGCUAGCGGGGCAUCGGUCUUCCUUCGCGGGGAGCUGGUGUUACCUUGCUUCUGUUGUGGCUCGUUAUGGUAGGGGGGUCAAGUCCACAUCCCGCCGUCGUGUGGGGGGUUCUCGGGUGUGUUGUGGUUUUUCGGUUGGUUUCGGCCGGCCGGAGGGCUCUUCGUGCUCGGUUCCUCUUUAGACACGGACGUUCAGACUCAGAGGCAAGACGCGAUAAACAGCCCACCACGGCACGUUGUGAGGUCACCCACAGGCUCGACUUCCGAUCGCGAACCUUGACGCCGAGCAAGCACAAUGCGUGUCGCUGAGGUUCCUAACCAGGCAAAAUGCUGCCAGGACCGUGGAACGACACGCGCUCAACAGUCAGGUUCGGGCGGAGACAGAGUUCUGGUACGAUCCUCUUGCGACGAGCCGGCUUCUGGCCAACAUCCGAUGCUCAGGUCUCCCGCAUGUGCCGCGGGAGAUCGCCUUGACGGUCUGGAUCUUUCACGAGUCCUCUCAGUCGGGCAACGGAUAGAGUGGUGUAAAGUCCAAGCCCAUCGGUCACGUCUCGAAACACGGGCCAAGGAGUAUAGCAUGUGUGCAAGUCUAAGAGUCUCACAAAACUCGAAGGCGAAGUGAAAGCAAGUAAGCGGCGGGUGAUCUACGGAGAGAUCCCGUCAGCUAAAGGGGCUCUCGGGCCUCU
This 1034-nucleotide ribosomal RNA is filed under the name Gammarus cf. balcanicus 2BOR. RNAcentral's name for it is "eukaryotic LSU rRNA". It matches the Rfam family "Eukaryotic large subunit ribosomal RNA", at positions 141 to 780 of the family's 3401-position model. Lineage: Eukaryota; Metazoa; Arthropoda; Malacostraca; Amphipoda; Gammaridae. The record is from RNAcentral.